This 167-nucleotide small nuclear RNA is filed under the name Cairina moschata (Muscovy duck). Its description in RNAcentral is "domestica (muscovy Duck (domestic type)) U1 spliceosomal RNA (ENSCMMG00000016849.1)". It matches the Rfam family "U1 spliceosomal RNA". Rfam says of the family: U1 is a small nuclear RNA (snRNA) component of the spliceosome (involved in pre-mRNA splicing). Its 5' end forms complementary base pairs with the 5' splice junction, thus defining the 5' donor site of an intron. Lineage: Eukaryota; Metazoa; Chordata; Aves; Anseriformes; Anatidae. The record is from RNAcentral.
CAUCUUACCUCAGGGGAGAUACCAUGAUCAGGCAGGUGGUUUUCCCAGAGCGAGGCUCAUCCCCUGCACUCUGGGUGUGCUGAGCCCUGCGAUUUCCCCAAAUGCGGGAAUCUCGACUGCAUAUAUAUUUUUUUUAAUUGUAUUGAAAGUUCUGUAGCUGUAAUUGU